UGCCUUACACAUGCAAGUCGAACGGCAGCAUGAUCUAGCUUGCUAGAUUGAUGGCGAGUGGCGAACGGGUGAGUAAUACAUCGGAACGUGCCCUGUAGUGGGGGAUAACUAGUCGAAAGAUUAGCUAAUACCGCAUACGACCUGAGGGUGAAAGUGGGGGACCGCAAGGCCUCAUGCUAUAGGAGCGGCCGAUGUCUGAUUAGCUAGUUGGUGAGGUAAAGGCUCACCAAGGCGACGAUCAGUAGCUGGUCUGAGAGGACGAUCAGCCACACUGGGACUGAGACACGGCCCAGACUCCUACGGGAGGCAGCAGUGGGGAAUUUUGGACAAUGGGCGAAAGCCUGAUCCAGCAAUGCCGCGUGUGUGAAGAAGGCCUUCGGGUUGUAAAGCACUUUUGUCCGGAAAGAAAUGGCUCUGGUUAAUACCUGGGGUCGAUGACGGUACCGGAAGAAUAAGGACCGGCUAACUACGUGCCAGCAGCCGCGGUAAUACGUAGGGUCCAAGCGUUAAUCGGAAUUACUGGGCGUAAAGCGUGCGCAGGCGGUUGUGCAAGACCGAUGUGAAAUCCCCGAGCUUAACUUGGGAAUUGCAUUGGUGACUGCACGGCUAGAGUGUGUCAGAGGGGGGUAGAAUUCCACGUGUAGCAGUGAAAUGCGUAGAGAUGUGGAGGAAUACCGAUGGCGAAGGCAGCCCCCUGGGAUAACACUGACGCUCAUGCACGAAAGCGUGGGGAGCAAACAGGAUUAGAUACCCUGGUAGUCCACGCCCUAAACGAUGUCAACUAGUUGUUGGGGAUUCAUUUCCUUAGUAACGUAGCUAACGCGUGAAGUUGACCGCCUGGGGAGUACGGUCGCAAGAUUAAAACUCA
Molecule: ribosomal RNA, 868 nt
Filed under: Ralstonia pickettii
Lineage: Bacteria; Pseudomonadati; Pseudomonadota; Betaproteobacteria; Burkholderiales; Burkholderiaceae
Description: bacterial SSU rRNA
Rfam family: Bacterial small subunit ribosomal RNA
Source: RNAcentral